RNAcentral lists this ribosomal RNA (136 nucleotides) under uncultured eukaryote. RNAcentral describes it as "partial 18S ribosomal RNA". It matches the Rfam family "Eukaryotic small subunit ribosomal RNA", at positions 1299 to 1458 of the family's 1831-position model. The record is from RNAcentral.
UGGUGGAGUGAUUUGUCUGGUUAAUUCCGUUAACGAACGAGACCUUAGCCUGCUAACUAGUCGAGCCAAUCCCGAUUGGCCCCGACUUCUUAGAGGGACUUUGUGAUCAAACACAAGGAAGUUUGAGGCAAUAACA